AGUGAACGCUGGCGGUAGGCCUAACACAUGCAAGUCGAACGGCAGCACAGUAAGAGCUUGCUCUUACGGGUGGCGAGUGGCGGACGGGUGAGGAAUACAUCGGAAUCUACUUUUUCGUGGGGGAUAACGUAGGGAAACUUACGCUAAUACCGCAUACGAUCUACGGGUGAAAGCAGGGGAUCUUCGGACCUUGCGCGAUUGAAUGAGCCGAUGUCGGAUUAGCUAGUUGGCGGGGUAAAGGCCCACCAAGGCGACGAUCCGUAGCUGGUCUGAGAGGAUGAUCAGCCACACUGGAACUGAGACACGGUCCAGACUCCUACGGGAGGCAGCAGUGGGGAAUAUUGGACAAAGGGCGCAAGCCUGAUCCAGCCAUACCGCGUGGGUGAAGAAGGCCUUCGGGUUGUAAAGCCCUUUUGUUGGGAAAGAAAAGCAGCAGGUUAAUACCCCGCUGUUCUGACGGUACCCAAAGAAUAAGCACCGGCUAACUUCGUG
This 492-nucleotide ribosomal RNA is filed under the name uncultured bacterium. Its description in RNAcentral is "partial 16S ribosomal RNA". It matches the Rfam family "Bacterial small subunit ribosomal RNA", at positions 29 to 507 of the family's 1533-position model. The record is from RNAcentral.